UUACGAGGUCAGGACACUGUGAGGAUUGACAGAUUGAAAGCUCUUUCUUGAUUCAGUGGGUGGUGGUGCAUGGCCGUUCUUAGUUGGUGGAGUGAUUUGUCUGGUUAAUUCCGUUAACGAACGAGACCUUAACCUGCUAAAUAGUCACGCGAACCGGUCCGCAAGGGCUCAAAGUUCGCGGCUCGACUUCUUAGAGGGACUAUUCGCACCCGCCAGCGAAUGGAAGUUUGGGGCAAUAACAGGUCUGUGAUGCCCUUAGAUGUUCUCGGCCGCACGCGCGUUACACUGACGGAGUCAACGAGCGUUUUUCCAUGCCCGACAGGGCUGGGUAACCUCCUGAAACUCCGUCGUGAUGGGGAUAGAUCAUUGCAAUUAUUGAUCUUGAACGAGGAAUUCCUAGUAGGCGCGAGUCAUCAACUCGCGCCGAUUACGUCCCUGCCCUUUGUACACACCGCCCGUCGCUCCUACCGAUUGAACGGUCCGGCGAGAACUCCGGAUGGUC
This 502-nucleotide ribosomal RNA is filed under the name Vermamoeba vermiformis. RNAcentral describes it as "SSU rRNA". It matches the Rfam family "Eukaryotic small subunit ribosomal RNA", at positions 1215 to 1719 of the family's 1831-position model. Lineage: Eukaryota; Tubulinea; Echinamoebida; Vermamoebidae. The record is from RNAcentral.